This 495-nucleotide ribosomal RNA is filed under the name uncultured bacterium. RNAcentral describes it as "partial 16S ribosomal RNA". It matches the Rfam family "Bacterial small subunit ribosomal RNA", at positions 28 to 507 of the family's 1533-position model. The record is from RNAcentral.
GACGAACGCUGGCGGCGUGCCUAAUACAUGCAAGUAGAACGCUGAAGGAGGAGCUUGCUUCUCCGGAUGAGUUGCGAACGGGUGAGUAACGCGUAGGUAACCUGCCUGGUAGCGGGGGAUAACUAUUGGAAACGAUAGCUAAUACCGCAUAAGAGUAGAUGUCGCAUGACAUUUGCUUAAAAGGUGCAACUGCACCACUACCAGAUGGACCUGCGUUGUAUUAGCUAGUUGGUGAGGUAACGGCUCACCAAGGCAACGAUACAUAGCCGACCUGAGAGGGUGAUCGGCCAAACUGGGACUGAGACAAGGCCCAGACUCCUACGGGAGGCAGCAGUAGGGAAUCUUCGGCAAUGGACGGAAGUCUGACCGAGCAACGCCGCGGGAGUGAAGAAGGUUUUCGGAUCGUAAAGCUCUGUUGUAAGAGAAGAACGAGUGUGAGAGUGGAAAGUUCACACUGUGACGGUAUCUUACCAGAAAGGGACGGCUAACUACGUG